RNAcentral lists this ribosomal RNA (566 nucleotides) under Oryza sativa (Asian cultivated rice). RNAcentral describes it as "eukaryotic LSU rRNA". The stretch from base 212 to 366 matches the Rfam family "5.8S ribosomal RNA". Lineage: Eukaryota; Viridiplantae; Streptophyta; Magnoliopsida; Poales; Poaceae. The record is from RNAcentral.
AUUUUUGAAAGUAAAAGUUGUAAAAAGGUCUUCGUAGGAGAACCAGCGGAGGUAUCAUUGCCGAGUUUACAACUCUCAAACCCCUGUGAACAUACCUUAAUGUUGCCUCGGAGGAUCAGCUCGCGCCCUGUAAAAGGGGACGGCCCGCCAGAGGACCCAAACUAUAAUGUUUUUUAUUGUAACUUGUGAGUAAAACACACAAAUAAAUCAAAACUUUCAACAACGUAUCUCUUGGGUAUGGCAUCGAUGAAGAACGCAGCAAAAUGUGAUAAGUAAUGUGAAUUGCAGAAUUCAGUGAAUCAUCGAAUGUUUGAACGCACAUUGUGCCCGUCUGGUAUUCCGGGGGGCAUGCAUGUUAGAGAGUCAUUUCGACCCUCAAGCCCCCGAGUUUGGUGAUGGGGAUCGUCUCUACCUUCGGGCGGUGCCGCCCCCGAAAUACAUUGGCGGUCUUGCUGCAGCCUCCAUUGCGUAGUAGCUAACACCUCAGCAAGUGGAAGUCGGAGCGGCCAGGCGGUAAAACCCCAAUUUCUGAAUGUGACCUCAGAUCAGCUAGAAUNCCAAAUUCC